AAUUUUGGACAAUGGGGGAAACCCUGAUCCAGCCAUCCCGCGUGUAUGAAGAAGGCCUUCGGGUUGUAAAGUACUUUUGGCCGAGAAGAAAAGGUAUCCCCUAAUACGGGAUACUGCUGACGGUAUCUGUAUAAUAACCACCGGCUAACUACGUGCAAGCUGCCGCGGUCAUACGUAGUGUGCAAGCGUUAAGCGGAAUUCCUGGGCGUAAAGCGUGUGUAGGCGGUUCGGAAAGAAAGAUGUGAAAGCCCAGGGCUCAACCUUGGAACUGCAUUUUUAACUGCCGAGCUAGAGUAUGUCAGAGGGGGGUAGAAUUCCACGUGUAGCAGUGAAAUGCGUAGAUAUGUGGAGGAAUACCGAUGGCGAAGGCAGCCCCCUGGGAUAAUACUGACGCUCAGACACGAAAGCGUGGGGAGCAAACAG
This 423-nucleotide ribosomal RNA is filed under the name uncultured bacterium. Its description in RNAcentral is "partial 16S ribosomal RNA". It matches the Rfam family "Bacterial small subunit ribosomal RNA", at positions 360 to 775 of the family's 1533-position model. The record is from RNAcentral.